RNAcentral lists this ribosomal RNA (423 nucleotides) under uncultured Acetivibrio sp. RNAcentral's name for it is "bacterial SSU rRNA". It matches the Rfam family "Bacterial small subunit ribosomal RNA", at positions 355 to 794 of the family's 1533-position model. Lineage: Bacteria; Bacillati; Bacillota; Clostridia; Acetivibrionales; Acetivibrionaceae. The record is from RNAcentral.
UCGGGAAUUUUGCGCAAUGGAGGAAACUCUGACGCAGUGACGCCGCGUAUAGGAAGAAGGUUUUCGGAUUGUAAACUAUUUUAGUCAGGGAAGAAAAAUGACAGUACCUGAAGAAUAAGCUCCGGCUAACUACGUGCCAGCAGCCGCGGUAAUACGUAGGGAGCAAGCGUUAUCCGGAUUUAUUGGGUGUAAAGGGUGCGUAGACGGGAAGACAAGUUGGUUGUGAAAGCCCUCGGCUCAACUGAGGAACUGCAACCAAAACUAUCAUUCUUGAGUGCGGGAGAGGAAAGUGGAAUUCCUAGUGUAGCGGUGAAAUGCGUAGAUAUUAGGAGGAACACCAGUGGCGAAGGCGACUUUCUGGACCGUAACUGACGUUGAGGCACGAAAGUGUGGGGAGCAAACAGGAUUAGAUACCCUGGUAGU